CAACGAUUGGAUCCAGAUGACAUGGCCUUGGCUCCCCCUUUAUAAUUUCCCAGGUCCUUAGAGAAGCUUGGGGAAUCUUUAGGCAACUUCCUGUAGUUGGGUUGGUCCAAUGAUAUGAAUGUCUUACCCACUGAUGGCUAGUGGAAUAAGCCACUCUCUUACAAUGACUAGUGGAAAGUCCCAGGAAGCUUUCAGCUUCGGGUAACAUCAGUUGGGUAAUCAUUGCCAGCUUGGAGAAUGAGUGGUGGCCUUAACUACUUUGGCACCAGCCCUCAUGAGAAAAUACUAUGAGAAAAUACUGUGGAAGGUAUCUUUAUCAAUUGGAUAAGAAAUCUUCCACCCUUUCAGAAGCUGACUUCCAUCUUAUACUCACAAUUGAAUUCUUCUGCAACAAUUUUUGGUACCUCAGCAGAUUACAUGUGCUGUCAUGUAUGAACUGCCCUCUGAAGCAUGAGAACCAGGGAACAACUGUAAUCCAGACCAUGGGAAAUCCUUGUUUCAAAUGCACUGCAGAGAUCAGACGACCGGGAGAUUAAGUUUUGACUGGAGCUCCAGCCUUAAAUAAGAACAUAUUGCCAGCGUGUUUAUGCGAAAGUCAGUGGAAAUUUGGAGACAGAGGAUGGACACAAACCCUGGCUCUGUCGUUCAUUGACUGUGUGACCUUAGGCAAGUCAAGGAAUCUUUCUGGGUCUCAGUUUCCCCAUCUGUAAAGUGAGAAGGGUGCAGGAAAUGGACCCCAAAAUCCCAUCCAGCAUUAAAUCUGUGGUCUAUGGACAGAUCUAGGACUUCUUCUUUUCUCCAUCAUUCAUUCCCCAUCCUCAACCUUAGUCCCAACUUUCAGACCUUGAGUUUUACUCAUGGUCUUCCUCUUCUCACCUUCAGUAUAUCAACUGCUAACAGUCAGGCUAUGAUUGCCUCUAGCAAGGUGAAGUGAUUGGCCUCCAACCACAAUCUUCAAUUCAACUCAAUUAAAUUCAACCAGCACCUACCUUAUUGACUCUCAGAACUGUGCUAGGUGCUGAGGAUACAACAACAAAAGUCCCUGCCCUCAAGGAGCUUACAUUUUAACUGGAGUAAUAUACACACCACAACACACACACGCACACACAUACAUAUGCCA
RNAcentral lists this long non-coding RNA (1120 nucleotides) under Phascolarctos cinereus (koala). RNAcentral describes it as "lncRNA (ENSPCIG00000035225.1)". Lineage: Eukaryota; Metazoa; Chordata; Mammalia; Diprotodontia; Phascolarctidae. The record is from RNAcentral.